CCUACGGGUGGCAGCAGUCGAGAAUCAUUCACAAUGGGGGAAACCCUGAUGGUGCGACGCCGCGUGGGGGAAUGAAGGUCUUCGGAUUGUAAACCCCUGUCAUGUGGGAGCAAAUUAAAACGAUCGUACCACAAGAGGAAGAGACUGCUAACUCUGUGCCAGCAGCCGCGGUAAUACAGAGGUCUCAAGCGUUGUUCGGCAUCACUGGGCGUAAGGCGUGCGUAGGCUGUUUCGUAAGUCGUGUGUGAAAGGCGCGGGCUCAACCCGCGGACGGCACAUGAUACUGCGAGACUAGAGUAAUGGAGGGGGAACCGGAAUUCUCGGUGUAGCAGUGAAAUGCGUAGAUAUCGAGAGGAACACUCGUGGCGAAGGCGGGUUACUGGACAUUAACUGACGCUGAGGCACGAAGGCCAGGGGAGCGAAAGGGAUUAGAUACCCCGGCAGUC
RNAcentral lists this ribosomal RNA (446 nucleotides) under uncultured bacterium. RNAcentral describes it as "partial 16S ribosomal RNA". It matches the Rfam family "Bacterial small subunit ribosomal RNA", at positions 338 to 795 of the family's 1533-position model. The record is from RNAcentral.